AGUGAACGCUGGCGGUAGGCCUAACACAUGCAAGUCGAACGGCAGCACAGUAAGAGCUUGCUCUUACGGGUGGCGAGUGGCGGACGGGUGAGGAAUACAUCGGAAUCUACUUUUUCGUGGGGGAUAACGUAGGGAAACUUACGCUAAUACCGCAUACGACCUACGGGUGAAAGCAGGGGAUCUUCGGACCUUGCGCGAUUGAAUGAGCCGAUGUCGGAUUAGCUAGUUGGCGGGGUAAAGGCCCACCAAGGCGACGAUCCGUAGCUGGUCUGAGAGGAUGAUCAGCCACACUGGAACUGAGACACGGUCCAGACUCCUACGGGAGGCAGCAGUGGGGAAUAUGGGACAAUGGGCGCAAGCCUGAUCCAGCCAUACCGCGUGGGUGAAGGAGGCCUUCGGGUUGUAAAGCCCUUUUGUUGGGAAAGAAAAGCAGCAGGUUAAUACCCCGCUGUUCUGACGGUACCCAAAGAAUAAGCACCGGCUAACUUCGUG
RNAcentral lists this ribosomal RNA (492 nucleotides) under uncultured bacterium. Its description in RNAcentral is "partial 16S ribosomal RNA". It matches the Rfam family "Bacterial small subunit ribosomal RNA", at positions 29 to 507 of the family's 1533-position model. The record is from RNAcentral.